RNAcentral lists this ribosomal RNA (408 nucleotides) under uncultured bacterium. Its description in RNAcentral is "partial 16S ribosomal RNA". It matches the Rfam family "Bacterial small subunit ribosomal RNA", at positions 28 to 526 of the family's 1533-position model. The record is from RNAcentral.
GACGAACGCUGGCGGCGUGCUUAACACAUGCAAGUCGAACGAAGUGGCGAACGGGUGAGUAACGCGUAAUCAACCUGCCCUUCAGAGGGGGACCACAGUUGGAAACGACUGCUAAUACCGCAUACUGAAGGAGGGGAUUGCGUCUGAUUAGCUAGUUGGAGGGGUAACGGCCCACAAAGGCGAGUAUCAGUAGCCGGGUGUAGAGGAAUAACAGCCAAAAUGGGACUGAGACACGGCCCAGACUCCUCCGGGAGGCAGCAGUGGGGAAUCUUCCGCAAUGGACGAAAGUCUGACCGAGCAACGCCGCGUGAGUGAAGAAGGUUUUCGGAUCGUAAAACGCUGUUGUUAGAGAAGCGGUAUCUAACCAGAAAGCCACGGCUAACUACGUGCCAGCAGCCGCGGUAAUAC